This 231-nucleotide ribosomal RNA is filed under the name uncultured bacterium. RNAcentral's name for it is "partial 16S ribosomal RNA". It matches the Rfam family "Bacterial small subunit ribosomal RNA", at positions 15 to 235 of the family's 1533-position model. The record is from RNAcentral.
GAUCAUGGCUCAGGAUGAACGCUAGCGACAGGCCUAACACAUGCAAGUCGAGGGGCAGCGAAGAGGUAGCAAUACCUUUGUCGGCGACCGGCGCACGGGUGAGUAACACGUAUGCAAUCCACCUGUAACAGGUGGAUAACCCGGAGAAAUCCUGACUAAUACCCCAUAAUAUGGGCGCUCCGCAUGGAGAGCCCAUUAAAGAGAGCAAUUUUGGUUACAGACGAGCAUGCG